Molecule: long non-coding RNA, 180 nt
Organism: Choloepus didactylus (southern two-toed sloth)
Lineage: Eukaryota; Metazoa; Chordata; Mammalia; Pilosa; Megalonychidae
Exons: 2
Source: RefSeq, a predicted model, not a curated record
GUCACCUUCCUGGGAGCAAAACUUACGUCUACUCAAGUCUCCCCCCAAAAGGUGUCUCUCAGGUUAGAUAAACUGAACACCCUCAAUGACUUACAAAAACUCAUGGGAGACAUAAAUUGGGUUCGCCCAUAUCUGAAGUUACCCAAUGCCGAAUUAAGACCCUUGUUUGACUUGCUUAAA